UAAUAAAACUAGAGGCUCUAAAGAGCCUGUGUCGCUCACCUUGGUAUAUGUGAAUAUUAAACAAAGGAAGCAGAUGGAUUCAUGAUGACAAAAUUGUGUUUUGGUGAUGGUGAUGUGUUUGUACAUCUUACUUUACUGAACAUUCUUGCUGCUUACAAUUAUCUCUAUCUAUAAUGAUCUUGGCAAAGUAGUUUAAGUGGAAAAUGUUAGUAAAAAUUUACAAAUUUUAUGAAAAUUGUUAAAAAUUGACUAUAAAGGACAAUAACUCCUUAGGGGGUCAAUUGACCAUUUUGGUCAUGUUUACUUAUUUUUAGGUCUUACUUUGCUGUACAUUAUUGCUGUUUACAGUUUAUCUCUAUCUAUAAUAAUAUUCAAGAUAAUAACAAAAAACGGCAAAAUUUCCUUAAAAUUACCAAUUUAGGGGCAGCAACCCAACAACCGGUUGUCGGGUCAAUCUGAAAAUUUCAGGGCAGAUAGAUCUUACAUGAUAAACAAUUUAACUCAGUCAGAUUUGCUCUAAAUGCUUUGAUUUUUGAGUUGUAAGCCAAAAACUGCAUUUUACCCCUAUGUUCUAUAUUUAGCCGUGGCCGCCAUCUUGGUUGGAUGUCCGGGUCACCGGACACAUUUUUUAAACUACAUACCCCAAAGAUGAUUGUG
RNAcentral lists this long non-coding RNA (657 nucleotides) under Mytilus galloprovincialis (Mediterranean mussel). Lineage: Eukaryota; Metazoa; Mollusca; Bivalvia; Mytilida; Mytilidae. The record is from RNAcentral.